This 72-nucleotide transfer RNA is filed under the name Bos taurus (domestic cattle). It matches the Rfam family "tRNA". From Rfam's summary of the family: Transfer RNA (tRNA) molecules are approximately 80 nucleotides in length. Their secondary structure includes four short double-helical elements and three loops (D, anti-codon, and T loops). Lineage: Eukaryota; Metazoa; Chordata; Mammalia; Artiodactyla; Bovidae. RNAcentral also lists the same sequence under 4 other names. The record is from Rfam by way of RNAcentral.
UCCCUUGUAGCUCAGUCAGUAAAGAAUCUGCCUGCAAUGCAGGAGACCCUGGUUCGAUUCCUAGCUGGGAAA